Homo sapiens (human) is the source of this 6437-nucleotide RNA transcript. It is a transcript of the gene named IGF like family member 2, with no coding region annotated. The record is from RefSeq and is marked validated. NCBI's taxonomy places the organism in Eukaryota, Metazoa, Chordata, Mammalia, Primates, Hominidae. The transcript has 13 exons.
AGUAGACAUCGCGCAGGCGAUGGGUGAGGCGGCUUUGGCCGCCAUGUUUUCGUCGCAGUAACUGCCUUGGUGUCAGUAGUCAUUGCCAGUUUCGGGCGUUCUGGACAAUUGGGAUGCUGCAGAGUUCAUGGCUGGGGCUGCUCGUUGGGUGGGACAAGAAUCCUCUGCAAUGGUUUGUUUUGGCUGCCCAGGAGGUGCGUCAAGUCGCUGCCGCUCCCCUCGUGGGCGUCAGGCCUCAAGAGUUCCCCGCCUAGAAAAUGGAGCUCAGCGAGUCGUGCGUACCAUGGUGCACCUGGUUUUGCAGCCUAAGCGGGUCACUUUAGUGCAUCCUCCUCGCGGAUUGGAGCCUGUUUGCACCCCUAUAGCCCGAAUGAGACCCAAGUCACACGGGCUCAGAAGUUCUUUGCCCCUGGCCAUGAUCCCCCAGCCAGCCACCCGAGUUUCCAGGCCUCAGGCGCUUUGGAAACGCCUGUACGUCGCCUGUACCUGAAUGGCAGGUACUCAUCUGCUUUAGCUACAUCAUAGUCUGCACCACUUCUGCCAGCUCGAUUGCAGCCUGGAUUUGAGUCAGAAACUUUUCAUGGUGGAUGAGGGUUGUAAAUAUCCAAAGCGACUCCAGAUGAAAUUGCCCUCAUCAAAGGAAGCUCAGAUGACAGAUUUCUGCAUAGAAGCCAAAAAAGCCUUCCCUCAAGGAAAGAGUCAGUUUCAAGUAUUUGCAAACUCAGAACAGUGUCAAUUUUAGAUCACUACAAUGCUGCCCAUCAAGGAAGAACCCUAUUGCUCCCUGGCGUCUCUCCUUGAGCCCUAAACACAGUAGAUUCAGAAACUAAGUCAGCAAAUGGAGGAAGAUUCUUAACCGUGAUAAGUUGGAAAACGUGCGUCAGAGGGCCACAUCCCUUCCUCGAGUUCAGGCUACCACCUGACUGCAGGUCAGAGCUGGAAGAGACAGUGAAAAUCACAGAGACCAAGAUAACUAUGAGAGGAAUUUAACUUAUAGUUCAACUUGCAGACAAGGGAAACUGACCCUCCUUCUUGUCCAGAGAUUGAAGCCACAUUCAUAAGGGCCCAGCAUGUCUCUGCAGGAAGGCAGGGCAUCCCACGAUAUCACCAGCUCCUCUAGGAGUAUAGGAGCCAAGGAGCUGCUGAGACCUGCUGAUCACCCACUCACUCCCCUCCAGCCACCCCAGAGCCAUGGCUCCCGAGGCCACAUCUUGGCUGUCUUGGCGUCUCUCUGCAUCCUCAGCCUUCUCUGAUCAUGUGGAGCCCCCAGUGGCCCCCAUGGGUGCUUAUCUGAUGCUGUGCCAGCCACAGGCAAGAUGUGGGGACACGUUCUGUGACCCUCUGCAGCACUGCUACUAUGACAAUGCCAUCCUGCCCUCGGAUGGGACCCAGAGGGGUGGAACUGCACCUUCAGAGUCUGCUUCGAGAAGUGCUGCCCCUGGUCCCUCAGUCCCCCAGCGUCCCUCAUGGUGAAGAUGAAAGGCCAGAAGUGCUCCUUGACCCUGACCUCAGAUAACAGGCUUUGUCACAGACAUCGCUGGCCUUCCAGGCUGGGUGAGGCAACCACUGUGGGCUCCCAAGCCUUUACGCGUCCCCAACCCAGCCCUGACUCUCUGAGUCAUCAAGGCCUGAGGACAAUCUGUGUUCCCAGUGAUGGCACAUGGCCCGCUAUUAUGUCUCUGCUGUGUCCUCUGCAGCACGUCGGGGUAAGGAUGAUUAGGUUUUAAUGGGAUAGUAACGGGCGUGUGAUUGGUUGCCAGGGAGGGAGUAAAAGUGUCCCAUACUUGUGGGUUAAGGUUGGGGGAUACAAGAGGAAGACGUGAAGGAGGCUUUAGGUUGGGGAGAAGGGCGGCACUGAGAUGUGGCUGUAGUCCAGGAAUAGUCAGGGUAGUGGAUAAUUUUGUUAAGAUGUAAAGGAUCAUUAACCUUGACUCUGCCUUCAGCUCCAGCCACCUCUCUAAGAGGAAAUUGUUGGGCAGGUUGGGGAGGGCUAGUCACGGAACAAAACUGUAAGCUGGACCGGUUGUGAGUGGGGGAGGCGAUAGAAGGAUUAUAGGGUGGGAGAGUGGAAGCUGAGGAAGAACUGGGACCUCGCUUGGCCUGGUGAGGAGCAGUGUGGGGAGGAGGGGAGAGGUCGGAUGAGUUCACAGAAAAAGAAGAUUUAAAGGACUCAGAGCUUGGGGUGGAGACUGAAGGAACAGACAGGAGAGAAAGAAGAAAGAUCUGGAAUGAGUCACAUUGGGAGCAGAGACUAGGGAGGAACUGAUGUGUAAAAGGAUGCCUGGACAUCAGGCACCUCAGACCAUUUGCCCAUUUUUUGACAAAAUUAUCUAGAUCUUGUAGGAUGGGGAAAUCGAAAGUGCCAUUUUCUGGCCAUUUAGAACAAUUGUUAAGUUUGUAUUGGGGUCAAAUGCUGUUGCAGAAGAAAAUAAGAUGCUUAGGUUUUGGGUCAGGUGAGAGUUGAAGAGGUUUUAAGUUUUUUAGAACACAGGCUAAGGGAGAAGAAGGAGGAAUGGAGGGUGGAAGGUUGCCCAUAGUAAAAAGGUAAGUUUAGAGAAAAGAGAGGGUAGAGACAUGGAGAGGGGGGUUGGUACUUGCCAUCCAGGGGAGGUGGUACUUGCCACCAAGGUGAAGGAUCAAGGCAGGCGUCCCUGCAGUGGUCAGACACCUCUGGAAUGUGGGUGAAUAAUCAGACAUGCAUCCCCACAGUGAUUAGACACCAAGGGAAGACUGUCUUCCCGAGUCUGUGACCAGCAGCAGAAUUUUGAGUUCAUGGACAAAACGUGUCUCCUCUGUCUCUACCAGAAACGGAAAGGAACCAAAAUUAAGGGAGGGAGAGAUUAAAGAGUGGAGGGAUAUCUAGCAAGAGAGGUUGGAGAAGAGAAUGAAAAGAGGCUACUUACCCGAUUUAAAAUUGGUGAGAAGUUCCUUCGGCUGGGCUGAGGACCCGAGGUCAUGGGUGGAUCUCAUGGAGAGAGGGCGAGGACAGGGGACCGGUCUCCCAAAGGAGUCCUCCUGUCUCAGGUCUUCGGCACCAAAUGUCACAUGAGUCCAUAUGAAGAGAGUCCACCAACAGGCUUUGUGUGAGCAACAAGACUGUUUAUUUUACUUGGGUGCAACUGGGCUGAAUCUGAAAAGAGAGUCAGCAAAGGGAGAUAGGGGUACAGCAGUUUUAUAGGAUUUGGGUAGGUAGUGGAAAAUUACAGUUAAAGGUGGUUAUCUCUUGUGGGCAGGGAUGGGGAUCACAAGGUGCAGGGUGGGGAGAUCAUGAGACUCAUUGUCUAGGGGAGGAAUGUCACAAGGUUGAUGGAUUAGUUGGGGUGGGGCAGGAGCAAAUCACAAUGAUGGAAUGUCAUCUUUUGUGGUUCUUCAGUUGCUCCAGGCCCUCUAGAUGUAUACGUGCAGGUCACAGGGGUUAUGAUGGCUUAGCUUGGGCUCAGAGGCCUGACACCAGAGAGUUGGCCAACACCCCGGUACAGUUGGCCAGCUGCACUAGAGCUGCUUUGUUCUCCUGAUUUGAAUUUCAGUGGUUUCUUACAGUUUUUGCUGCUGCUGUAGAGCAUUUAAGCAGGAAGGGAUCCAGUUCAGCCAUCCAGGGACUGGCACCCAAGUUCUUGUUGCAGGUAGCAGGGACCAGCUUGCAAGCUUGAAGUGUGCAGAUGGAACACAGAGCACUCCAGCCACCCAGGCAGAUAUCAGAGGAUGGGCCCUCAGGCACUGAUUCCUGUCUGUCACCUGGGAGAGGCUCCCUGAGGCCAGGUGGAAAUCAUACCCGGAUGCCACCAGAAUGAUGAUUCAGCCCUUUCCGUGCUUGUUCCAGAGGGGAAGCCCAUGAAAGGAGGACAGCCAGUGCUCUCCUGUGUGCCACGUUCCAGAAGCUCAGUCUCACUCUGUCGCGCAGGCUGGAGUGCAGUGGCACGAUCUCGGCUCACUGCAACCUCUGCCUCCCGGAUUCAAGCGCUUCUCCUGCCUCAGCCUCCCAAGUAGCUGGGAUUACAGUGAUUCUGGGAACUGUGGGCAAGAAGAGAGGCGGGAAAGCCAGAGCCAUCCAAUGCUUGUCUUCUGGUGCCCUCCUCCAGGAAGCCAUUCCUGGUGCCCUGGGCGCUGCUCCCAGCCUUGCUCACCCUGGGUCAUCACCGUUUUUGGAGGGGUCUGUGUCCUCCCCAGACUAUAAGACCCAGAAAAGCAGGGCCUGGAGCUAAGUCACAGUCGUGUCCCCAGCAUCCACUGACACAGAAAAAGCCACAAAGAAACAUGGUAAGAGCGUGGCAGAUAACAUCCACGGUGCUAUCGGGAGGUGACAGGUGACUGACCUCAGCCUUGGUGUUCAAGAAGAUUCCAGAAGCACGUCCUAAUCUGUGUCCUGGAAAACAACACUCUACCCCACAGCAACAAGGCAUGGAGGCCAAUGGAGAAGACAGGGAGAUGGUGCUGGAAGCAGGGUCUGCUCUUCCCCUGGGGAAGGUGCGUGCUGAGCACUCUGGUAUUUAUCAUGAGAUCAUUUCUGCUGCAGCCUCUUCCCUUGUCGCCUGCCUCCAGAGAGAAGCCCCUGUCCAUGCUCCCCAGAAAGAUACAGGAUCUUCCACACACACAGAUCUGACCACAUACAUCCCCUGCUGGGAAUAACCCUGGGGAGAAUGGCUUGUCCAUACCAGGUGUGGCCUGUGAACUCACAAACUGAGGAAAUCCUGCAGAAGCUGGGAGGGGCCCACAGAACUGACCCAAGACAGCUUCUUCCCCUCUGUUUUUUCGUCCUGACCCCAAGAUGGCUCUUCUGUGGGGAAAUCACACACCCGACCCUCUGAAAAAGCACGUUAAGGAAAAAUGUCCUUGAAAAUCUCAGGAGGGCUGUGGAAUUUCUCCACCACCAGAACUUCACAGUGACAAUGACACCAAACACAAGAACGACAAUAACCAAAAUCAGGAGUUUUAUUCUCCUACCUUCUCUCUCUCUCUCUCUCUCUCUCCUCUCACUGUCAUGAACGUCACGAAGACACUGACUUUGCAUUUUCUACUCAGCACUGCAUCACCAGUGUCUGACACAAAGCCUGGGACAUGUGGGCUUCCAAGUGGACCUCUCCUGGAUAAAUGACCAUUAAUGAAACAGAGAAGGAGUUGAAGAGCCCCCAGAGGAGUGUGAGUCCCAGGGGUCCCGCCAGCUCCACUCCCACCUUCCAAACCUGUGAAAGUCAGGUGCCUGAGUCGCACAGUCUCUCCCACCCGAAUGCCAUGAGCUGCAGCGACCCAGCCUGUCUCUGCAGGAGGGCCAGACAUGCCGUGACAUCACCAGCUCCUCUAGGAAUAUGGGAUACAAGGAGUGGCUGAGAUCGGCUGAUCACCAGCUCACUCCGCUGCAGCCGCCCCAGAGCAAUGGCUCCCCGAAGCCGUGUUCUGGCUGUCUUGGCCGCUUUCUGUUUGUGACUCUCCCUGCCUCCACUCCCCCCACCACCCCAUGAAAUGAUCUCAUUUGGUCAUUUAAACGGAAAACUAAAAAGUUUUAAGUGACUCUAGGAGAGCAGGAGAGAGGCAGGUCUCCCAGCUCAGACCCCGCCCCGGGACGGCCCCACGGAAGAUGCACAUCUGGAUGUAGGCGCUCAAGGCACCGCGCGUGCGCCGAGUGGCCUUGCUCAGCUCCGUCCUUCUGAAACCCGGAAUCCUCAUGUGUCUGGGUCCCGCCCCAUCCUGGCCUCCUACACCACUGGUCCAGAUCCUCCACCUUCCCCCAACGCGAGGUAUUGACAUCAAAGCAUCACCUCAUCUGGCACAAGAAUCUGAAACACAGACCGCACCUUACACCAACGUAGUGAAUCCCUCCUUGGACCUGAGUUCAACAAGCCCAGAGUCGGGGCUCUGGGUUCCCGCCCAAAUGCCACGCAUGCACACAGAUGGCACCUGGCGUCUCCUCAAAGGGACAGGAAUCCCGGGCUUCCCAGAAUCACCAGGUCGAUUUAAAUGGCAUCAGAUGAACUGGAAAAGAAUGAAAGUGCUAUUGCCUAAAGUGAUGAAAUUUUCAGAGGAUGUAUCGGUCCUGUCUGGUGGACAGACGGCCACCAGAGGGAAUGAACCAGUCUUCUCUGAACAUCCAUGAGGAUGAAGAACAGUCACUGAGGUGACGGUACCAAGUCACCGGCCACCUCCCAGGGAUCCUCUCAUCCGGUCCUCACAGCAGCGCUGCAUGGUCGGACCUCAUCACCCACAUUCCACCAAGAGGAAGCUGAAGCCCAGGGCCUUCAUCCACUCAUGUCCUCCAGACCCCUGGCACCCAUCCUGGGCCCCACCCCAUCAUCCAGGCCUUGGGCCUUCGACCUGGGGAGAGUCCCUGUCUCCUCCAUGAGCCGUCCAGGGCCUGAAGAGGUAUCCAAUAAACAAGAAAGCAGAACACAAAGAGCUGUGAUGGAGUGGAUCUUAUGUAGUAAGAAUAAAAUUAUUUUGAGAAA